Oncorhynchus mykiss (rainbow trout) is the source of this 860-nucleotide non-coding RNA. The record is from RefSeq and is a predicted model, not a curated record. Lineage: Eukaryota; Metazoa; Chordata; Actinopteri; Salmoniformes; Salmonidae.
GGAAAAGCAGCCAACAAGUGCUCAGCAUAUGUAGGAACUCAAGACUUCUGGAAAAGCAUUCCAGUUUGGUAACGGGUCCGUCCUCAACUCCACACAGGAAAACUCUGCAACUCUAUGUCAAUACUGAGGCUGAAGACCAUAGAGGUUCUAAGGGAUUACCAAAGGUCAAAGAUAAUGAUAAAAACAGAGACAUUUAGCCCUGUUUCCCAUGUCCUAUUUUACUGUGGGUCCAUGAAAUCCCUUUAUGAGCUGCCAAUAUCAGCUAAAGUCAACAAAAAGGGCUCCAUGUCAAGCCUGGCCAUUCAGAAAGAUUUACUUUUGUCCGUAUAUAAUUUUCUUAAAGUCUUCUGUGUUUCAAAUGUUUAAAUUGUUGGGUAUCCUUAUGAUAUUGUUAAGUUUCUAACAAAAACAGUACAUCUAUAGACGGGUUGGCUGACAACGUCAUGAAAAUGAUGCACCCACAUCGAAGGGGCCCAGAAGUCGUGCGUUGUUAUGAUCCUGAACGGGCAGAUAGCUAGCAACAAUGACAAGAAGCUGCCAUGUGGGAAAACAUAGGUGGCUCGUUUUAGCUAGUUUUAACUUGUUCUUGAUACCAUCCCACUGGGCACAGACGUUAAUUCAAUGUCUAUUCCACAUUGGUUCCGUGUAAUUUCGUUGAAAUGACGUGGAAACAACAUAGAUUCAGCCUGUGUGCGCCCAGUGGGGUGUCUUGUUUGGAGGUGUUUUGACUGAUGUCAACGCUAAUAUGGCAACAAAAAAUUUACUAGCUAGCUAACCAACAACUGUAACAAUGUACUCGAGAGACAACAAGUGCACAUUGUGCAAAUGUAUUAAUUUGUUCAAUAAACAUGGAGACAAAA